RNA transcript from Cucumis sativus (cucumber), 1978 nucleotides. RefSeq lists it as uncharacterized. NCBI's taxonomy places the organism in Eukaryota, Viridiplantae, Streptophyta, Magnoliopsida, Cucurbitales, Cucurbitaceae. The transcript is spliced from 4 exons. The record is from RefSeq and is a predicted model, not a curated record.
AAGAACUGUUCCGUUCUCUUCUUUAAUUUCCAAUUUCCAUUAACAAUGUUGCCGAAGAAGAAACAGAAGCUAACAACUGCUUUUCACAAUAAACUCACUCAUCUCUUUCACAGAAUGCCCCUCCGGCGGCUGCUCCUCACCCCCACUCUCUCAACCGCCAAAACUCUCCUCCUCCUCCUCUCCGCUGCCUUCAUCGUCUACACUCUCUUCUUCAACUCCUCAUCUCAUUCCCCUUCCCUCUUAUGCUCUUCUUCUACUCUCUCUCCCACCACGCGCCGCCACAUUGUCUUCGCCAUCGCUUCUUCCUCUAACUCAUGGUCCCGUCGCAAGCCUUAUGUUCGUCUCUGGUACGAUCGUAAUUCGACUCGUGCUUUUGCCUUCGUUGAUCGCAUUGCACCUGAUUUCGCUUCUGCUGAUCCUUCCGUUCCGCCGGUGAUUGUUUCCAAUGAUACCUCUAGGUUCCCCUAUACUUUCCGUGGAGGUCUUCGAUCGGCGAUUAGAGUGGCGCGGGUGGUGAAGGAAAUUGUUGAACGUAAUGAGCAGGACGUUCGGUGGUAUGUGUUUGGGGACGAUGAUACUUUGUUCUUUGUCGAGAAUUUGGUUAAUACGUUGGGGAAAUAUGAUCAUGAGCGGUGGUAUUACAUCGGGAGUAAUUCGGAGAGUUAUGGACAGAAUUUGAAAAAUUCAUUCGAUAUGGCGUUUGGUGGUGGAGGCUUUGCGAUUAGUCAUUCACUGGCUAGGGUUUUGGCUGGGGUUUUGGACUCGUGUUUGACUAGAUACGGGCAUUUGUAUGGAAGUGAUGCCAGAAUAUGGUCGUGCUUGGUGGAGCUUGGAGUUGGCUUAACACACGAACCUGGAUUUCACCAGGUUGAUAUGCGGGGAAAUUUAUUGGGAUUGCUAUCAGCACAUGCAUUGUCGCCGAUAGUUUCACUUCAUCAUCUGGAUGCUAUGGAUCCUAUAUUCCCAAACAUGAACAAUACGCAGGCCCUGUAUCAUCUUUUUGAAGCAGUGAAUGUGGAUCCUGGCAGGGUUUUCCAGCAAAUUGUGUGCUAUGAUCGUUCUCAUUCAUUGACUAUUUCAGUAUCGUGGGGUUUUGCUAUUCAGGUCUUUGAAGGGAAUCGGCUUCUCCCCGAUUUACUUUCACUGCAAAGAACUUUUACGUCAUGGAGAAGGGCUGCCACCAUUGAUGCGAAUCGAUACUUGUUCAACAUGAGAGAGUACCCUAAAGAUCCUUGUAAAAGAAAUAUCUUCUACAUGCAGAAUUUAAGAAUUAGUAAAAAUAAUGCCUUGACUAACUAUACUAGGAAGAUGGUCACUGAUUGUCCAGCGUCUGGUGCAAUUAAGAACCUGACACAGAUUCGAGUGUUCUCCCAGAAGUUGGAACUUGAUGUGGAGGAGAUGAAGGCUCCACGCCGGCAAUGCUGUGAUAUUAUUUCCUCUUCCAAGGAAUCGAUGCUUCUUGAAAUUAGACAAUGUGGAGUUGAAGAAUUAAUAGCUAUGUACUUCUAACCAUUUUUGUAUGCUUGUCUGGGAAGGAUAGAGUUCUAUAAAAGUUAACCAACGGUUCCUUGAGUGGUUUAAAACCAUGGAUUUUGCUGUGCUGUCCAUUCUUAAUUUAAGGCGGGAGAAAAAGUGGCCAUGCUUUCUAGUCUGAUCGGAGGUGUACUUGAAAGAAAACGAAAUGGUCUCGAGUUUCUUCUGGCAUUUUGAAUUGCCACCUGAGGUUGUUCAUCCGUCGUCUUCCAGGUUUAAGUUUUAAUUUUUUGUUUAACUGAGCAUCGAGUCUUUGGUUAGCUUAUCUGUAUGAACAUUUAGUGUAAGCCAGGAGCAGGAUGAGUUGUUUUUGGUUAUCCAUGUAAAUAUUUCUCUUGUAUAUCUCUUCUUUUAAGUUUAACCAUUAAUAAGAUAAAGAUAUAACAAGUAUUGUGUUAUAUCAAUGCAUCAUUUUCAGCAUCAAGAUCACUUAUGCUGGAAGAAA